CUGCCAUUGAAGAAAGUUCAGAGAGAAAGUGUGAGAAAAUGAGAGAAAAUAUUAACGGAUUUUAGAAAGGGAACGGUGCGAAAAUUGCAUCUGCAUUCAUCUUCGUCUUCGAUUCGGAUUCUGCAAUUCAAGGUGUUGUGUACGGUGGUUCAAAACUCUGAAAGUUCAAAACUCUGAAAGGUUACGUUUCUUCGCUAUUGACGUUGCGGGGUUGGUUAUUGGGUGGUCGCUUUUUAUGGAAAGUUGAAGGUGGAUUGAAGCGAAGUCUAGGGCAAAGGAAAAUUUUGGAAAUACAAUUUGGAGCAUUGGGAAGGAGACAUAAU
Vigna radiata var. radiata (mung bean) is the source of this 323-nucleotide long non-coding RNA. RefSeq lists it as uncharacterized. The transcript has 3 exons. NCBI's taxonomy places the organism in Eukaryota, Viridiplantae, Streptophyta, Magnoliopsida, Fabales, Fabaceae. The record is from RefSeq and is a predicted model, not a curated record.